UAAUUUAUAUAAAAUAUUUUGACGAAUAUUUAUAUAAUAUUAACAUAAUUCAUAUUACUAUAUAUUUUAGUAUAUGAAAUUUUACUUUGAGAAAAUUAGAGUGCUUAAAGCAGGCAUAUGCCUUGAAUACUCCAGCAUGGAAUAAUAUUAAAGAUUUUUAUCUUUCUUAUUGGUUCUAAGAUAAGAAUAAUGAUUAAUAGGGACAGUUGGGGGCAUUUGUAUUUAACAGUCAGAGGUGAAAUUCUUAGAUUUGUUAAAGACAAACUAAUGCGAAAGCAUUUGCCAAGGAUGUUUUCAUUAAUCAAGAACGAAAGUUAGGGGAUCGAAGACGAUCAGAUACCGUCGUAGUCUUAACCAUAAACUAUGCCAACUAGAGAUUGGGAGG
Molecule: ribosomal RNA, 385 nt
Filed under: Cryptosporidium parvum
Lineage: Eukaryota; Apicomplexa; Conoidasida; Eucoccidiorida; Cryptosporidiidae
Description: SSU rRNA
Rfam family: Eukaryotic small subunit ribosomal RNA
Source: RNAcentral